RNAcentral lists this ribosomal RNA (1863 nucleotides) under Aspergillus tubingensis. RNAcentral's name for it is "partial 28S ribosomal RNA". It matches the Rfam family "Eukaryotic large subunit ribosomal RNA", at positions 1 to 1879 of the family's 3401-position model. Lineage: Eukaryota; Fungi; Ascomycota; Eurotiomycetes; Eurotiales; Aspergillaceae. The record is from RNAcentral.
UGACCUCGGAUCAGGUAGGGAUACCCGCUGAACUUAAGCAUAUCAAUAAGCGGAGGAAAAGAAACCAACCGGGAUUGCCUCAGUAACGGCGAGUGAAGCGGCAAGAGCUCAAAUUUGAAAGCUGGCUCCUUCGGAGUCCGCAUUGUAAUUUGCAGAGGAUGCUUUGGGUGCGGCCCCCGUCUAAGUGCCCUGGAACGGGCCGUCAGAGAGGGUGAGAAUCCCGUCUUGGGCGGGGUGUCCGUGCCCGUGUAAAGCUCCUUCGACGAGUCGAGUUGUUUGGGAAUGCAGCUCUAAAUGGGUGGUAAAUUUCAUCUAAAGCUAAAUACUGGCCGGAGACCGAUAGCGCACAAGUAGAGUGAUCGAAAGAUGAAAAGCACUUUGAAAAGAGAGUUAAACAGCACGUGAAAUUGUUGAAAGGGAAGCGCUUGCGACCAGACUCGCCCGCGGGGUUCAGCCGGCAUUCGUGCCGGUGUACUUCCCCGUGGGCGGGCCAGCGUCGGUUUGGGCGGCCGGUCAAAGGCCCCUGGAAUGUAGUACCCUCCGGGGUACCUUAUAGCCAGGGGUGCAAUGCGGCCAGCCUGGACCGAGGAACGCGCUUCGGCACGGACGCUGGCAUAAUGGUCGUAAACGACCCGUCUUGAAACACGGACCAAGGAGUCUAACAUCUACGCGAGUGUUCGGGUGUCAAACCCGUGCGCGCAGUGAAAGCGAACGGAGGUGGGAGCCCCCUCGCGGGGCGCACCAUCGACCGAUCCUGAUGUCUUCGGAUGGAUUUGAGUAAGAGCGUAAAUGUGGGGACCCGAAAGAUGGUGAACUAUGCCUGAAUAGGGCGAAGCCAGAGGAAACUCUGGUGGAGGCUCGCAGCGGUUCUGACGUGCAAAUCGAUCGUCAAAUUUGGGUAUAGGGGCGAAAGACUAAUCGAACCAUCUAGUAGCUGGUUCCUGCCGAAGUUUCCCUCAGGAUAGCAGUAACGCAAAAUCAGUUUUAUGAGGUAAAGCGAAUGAUUAGAGGCAUUGGGGUUGAAACAACCUUAACCUAUUCUCAAACUUUAAAUAUGUAAGAAGCCCUUGUUGCUUAGUUGAACGUGGGCAUUAGAAUGGAGCGUUACUAGUGGGCCAUUUUUGGUAAGCAGAACUGGCGAUGCGGGAUGAACCGAACGCGAGGUUAAGGUGCCGGAAUGCACGCUCAUCAGACACCACAAAAGGUGUUAGUUCAUCUAGACAGCCCGACGGUGGCCAUGGAAGUCGGAAUCCGCUAAGGAGUGUGUAACAACUCACGGGCCGAAUGAACUAGCCCUGAAAAUGGAUGGCGCUCAAGCGUGCUACCCAUACCUCGCCGUCGGGGUAGAAACGAUGCCCCGACGAGUAGGCAGGCGUGGGGGUCCGUGACGAAGCCUUGGGAGUGAUCCCGGGUCGAACGGCCCCUAGUGCAGAUCUUGGUGGUAGUAGCAAAUACUCAAAUGAGAACUUUGAGGACUGAAGUGGGGAAAGGUUCCAUGUGAACAGCAGUUGGACAUGGGUUAGUCGAUCCUAAGGCAUAGGGAAGUUCCGUUUGAAAGGCGCCCUCGUGCGCCGUGUGCCGAAAGGGAAGCCGGUUAAUAUUCCGGCACCUGGAUGUGGAUUCUCCACGGCAACGUAACUGAACGCGGAGACAUCGGCGGGGGUCCUGGGAAGAGUUCUCUUUUCUUCUUGACGGCCUAUCACCCUGAAAUCGGUUUGUCCGGAGCUAGGGUUCCACGGCCGGCAGAGCCCUGCACCUUUGCAGGGUCCGGUGCGCCCCCGACGAUCCUUGAAAAUCCGCGGGAAGGAAUAGUUUUCACGCCAGGUCGUACUCAUAACCGCAGCAGGUCUCCAAGGUGAACAG